This 254-nucleotide ribosomal RNA is filed under the name uncultured bacterium. RNAcentral describes it as "partial 16S ribosomal RNA". It matches the Rfam family "Bacterial small subunit ribosomal RNA", at positions 524 to 776 of the family's 1533-position model. The record is from RNAcentral.
UACAGGGGGGGGCAAGCGUUGUUCGGAAUUACUGGGCGUAAAGGGUCUGUAGGUGGCCAACUAAGUCAGACGUGAAAUCCCUCAGCUUAACUGGGGAACUGCGUCUGAUACUGGAUGGCUCGAGUGUGGGAGAGGAAUGCGGAAUUCCAGGUGUAGCGGUGAAAUGCGUAGAUAUCUGGAGGAACACCGGUGGCGAAGGCGGCAUUCUGGACCAUAACUGACACUGAGAGACGAAAGCCAGGGGAGCAAACAGG